Molecule: ribosomal RNA, 443 nt
Filed under: uncultured bacterium
Lineage: Bacteria
Description: partial 16S ribosomal RNA
Rfam family: Bacterial small subunit ribosomal RNA
Source: RNAcentral
CCUACGGUGAGCAGCAGUGGGGAAUAUUGGACAAUGGGGGGAACCCUGAUCCAGCGACGCCGCGUGAGUGAAGAAGUAUUUCGGUAUGUAAAGCUCUAUCAGCAGGGAAGAAAGAAAUGACGGUACCUGACUAAGAAGCCCCGGCUAACUACGUGCCAGCAGCCGCGGUAAUACGUAGGGGGCAAGCGUUAUCCGGAUUUACUGGGUGUAAAGGGAGCGUAGACGGCGAUGCAAGUCUGAAGUGAAAGGCGGGGGCCCAACCCCUGGACUGCUUUGGAAACUGUAUGGCUGGAGUGCAGGAGAGGUAAGUGGAAUUCCUAGUGUAGCGGUGAAAUGCGUAGAUAUUAGGAGGAACACCAGUGGCGAAGGCGGCUUACUGGACUGUAACUGACGUUGAGGCUCGAAAGCGUGGGGAGCAAACAGGAUUAGAUACCCGAGUAGUC